RNAcentral lists this ribosomal RNA (491 nucleotides) under uncultured bacterium. RNAcentral describes it as "bacterial SSU rRNA". It matches the Rfam family "Bacterial small subunit ribosomal RNA", at positions 30 to 513 of the family's 1533-position model. The record is from RNAcentral.
AUUGAACGCUAGCGGCAUGCUUAACACAUGCAAGUCGAACGGCAGCGGGGGAAAGCUUGCUUUCCUGCCGGCGAGUGGCGGACGGGUGAGUAACGCGUAGGAAUUUGCCUUUUGGUGGGGGAUAACCCGGGGAAACUCGGGCUAAUACCGCAUAAUCUCUAAGGAGCAAAGCGGGGGACCUUCGGGCCUCGUGCCAUUAGAUAAGCCUGCGUCAGAUUAGCUUGUUGGUGGGGUAAUGGCCUACCAAGGCGACGAUCUGUAGCUGGUCUGAGAGGAUGACCAGCCACACUGGGACUGAGACACGGCCCAGACUCCUACGGGAGGCAGCAGUGGGGAAUAUUGGACAAUGGGGGCAACCCUGAUCCAGCAAUGCCGCGUGUGUGAAGAAGGCCUUCGGGUUGUAAGCACUUUCAGUGGGGAAGAAGGCCUAAGGUUAAUAUCCUUAGAGUUGACGUUACCACAGAAGAAGCACUGGCUAACUCUGUGCAGCG